RNAcentral lists this long non-coding RNA (943 nucleotides) under Elaeis guineensis (African oil palm). RNAcentral's name for it is "long non-coding RNA (EGUI_LNC066191)". The record is from RNAcentral. Lineage: Eukaryota; Viridiplantae; Streptophyta; Magnoliopsida; Arecales; Arecaceae.
CCAACAAGAAAUGAUACUAAGCAUUCAUUCAUCCAAAGAGACAUAAUAAUAAACAUUCAUACAACCAAAGGGAUAUGAUAAUAAACAUUCAUCCAAAGAGACAUGAGUAGAAAGGAAACAACCUCAUUCAUAUACACCAAAAUAGAGGUUAUAAGAGCCAUAAAGAGCAUAAAGCUCUCAUACAUCCAAUCUAUAAAAUAUAACUAAGUAAUCCAAUACAAAAUAAAGUCAGGAAGAUAGGGCAUUGAGUACAAGAUCCAGAUAGGUGAAGACAUGAUCAGCCCCAUCCUCGAUGGAAAGAUCUGGUCCGAGAAGAAGAAGCUGGAGGACGGAAGGCAAUAGGCUGAAUAAAGGCUGGCUCACUAGAUGCAGAAGGUCUAGACUGAAUCUGGAUCCUAAUGGCAUCAAGCUGAGACAGGAUAUCCCUCACAGUCAAUCGGAGACCAUCCAGAUCAGAUGUCAGAAAAUCCCUGGAGUCUGGGAUAUCUAUCCUGAGCACCUCGAGAGAAGAGCGAAGCUGUGACUGAAGUCUGUCUAUCUCUCGAGCCAGGUCAUCCAUCUAUGGUGCAGAAGAAGUCGAUGUGCCCACUCCAGCAGAAAGAGAGUCUACAAUCCGUCUGAUCUCUCUUUCCAGGUCAAAAAUCCUGCCACUGAAUCUCCAAAGUGAGCUCUCCACACCCUGCAAUCUGACACUCAAAUCCGAUAACAGCUCCAUCAAUGAAGAAAUGUGUGGAACAAUAGAUGAAUCCAAUGAUGAAGCAGGGAAGGCAGUGGAAGAAGCUGGCUGAUACUGCUGUGGCUGCUGUGUCUGCUGCUGCUGUAGCUGCUGAAGGAUCCGCUCCUGGUACAGCUGAAACUGGUGGAACUGCUGUAUAACCUGAUCCUUGAGCUGCUCCUGGAAUUGCUACUGCUGGAUUGAUAAUAUGUCUGCUACCCUCUCAGC